CGGGGUAUAGCUUAGUGGUUAAAGCGCUUGUUUUGGGUACAAGAAACCGUGUGUUCGACUCACACUACCCCGA
Molecule: transfer RNA, 73 nt
Filed under: Colponema vietnamica
Lineage: Eukaryota; Colponemida; Colponemidia
Description: tRNA-Pro
Rfam family: tRNA
About the family: Transfer RNA (tRNA) molecules are approximately 80 nucleotides in length. Their secondary structure includes four short double-helical elements and three loops (D, anti-codon, and T loops). Further hydrogen bonds mediate the characteristic L-shaped molecular structure. tRNAs have two regions of fundamental functional importance: the anti-codon, which is responsible for specific mRNA codon recognition, and the 3' end, to which the tRNAs corresponding amino acid is attached (by aminoacyl-tRNA synthetases). tRNAs cope with the degeneracy of the genetic code in two manners: having more than one tRNA (with a specific anti-codon) for a particular amino acid; and 'wobble' base-pairing, i.e. permitting non-standard base-pairing at the 3rd anti-codon position.
Source: RNAcentral